CCUGGCCUCCAUCUUGAAAACGGAAAAUAAAAACAGCAGACCUAUGAAGGUCGAAGGGGAAGAAAAGCUGUAUCGAUUGUUGAGAUCUGGCGACUUGUUUAAAUUUCAUCAGCCUCACUUCUAUGAACUCUCAGGCCUCACGUGUACCAGCUCUCUGCUCUCCUUUGCCUUGGGACGUUCCAUCCCUGGAAGUUUCCCUGCCCACAUCUUUGUAGAGAGUCCAUUCUCCAAGCUUCAGUGUGUCAUCUGUGAGGACCGUGACCCACCUGGUACAUCGCCUCAGGGCAUUCAUUUCAGGCUCCUUCUAAAUGGCCAAGGGUCUUCCUCUGCCACCCAGGCUGGAGUGUGCAGCAGCAUGACCGUGGCUUACUGCAGCUUCAACCUCUCAGGAUUAGGUAAACCUCAGGUUCUCCUCCUGCCUUUUGCUAAGUAUAUGUCUUGAUGACAAGCCUUCUGCUGAUGAGCUGUGUUUCUGGACCGAUCAUGGUAGAAGUCAAUUAACGUGUCCCUCACUUGGGGUUUCUCAAGGCUGCACUGAUGAGGAAACUGAAACAGAAAAUCCAGAGUAAAUUCCACCAGGCCACACAGCAAGGUCUGAUAGAGCCAGGAGAGACUUUAUGAAAUCCAGACUCUCACACUAAUGCUCUAUCAGCUAGACCUCCAUGUGAGUCUCCCCAAUGUAGGUAGGAAGUGCUUUCCCUAAAAUGCUCAUAAAGCAAAUCAGAGCAAUGCUGCAUUCCAUGUGAUUUCUAAUUUGAAAUGCAAACAAUUGCCAAUUUGUUUGACUUGUAUUUAUAAUUAUUUCCUUGUGAAUUACUCAUCACUAAAUGCUUUAUAAAUAUUUUCUCUUUUUUUCCUCAAUGUCUAUGGAAUGAUCACAGCAUAGAAAAUGUUGGCUUUCAAGGAUUUAUUAAUAUCUCCUUUUGAAAUAACAUGUAUUUGUAAGACAGAAUAAAAUCACUUUAAAGAAACAAA
RNAcentral lists this long non-coding RNA (975 nucleotides) under Homo sapiens (human). Its description in RNAcentral is "testis expressed 41". The record is from RNAcentral. Lineage: Eukaryota; Metazoa; Chordata; Mammalia; Primates; Hominidae.